AGUGAACGCUGGCGGUAGGCCUAACACAUGCAAGUCGAACGGCAGCACAGUAAGAGCUUGCUCUUACGGGUGGCGAGUGGCGGACGGGUGAGGAAUACAUCGGAAUCUACUUUUUCGUGGGGGAUAACGUAGUGAAACUUACGCUAAUACCGCAUACGACCUACGGGUGAAAGCAGGGGAUCUUCGGACCUUGCGCGAUUGAAUGAGCCGAUGUCGGAUUAGCUAGUUGGCGGGGUAAAGGCCCACCAAGGCGACGAUCCGUAGCUGGUCUGAGAGGAUGAUCAGCCACACUGGAACUGAGACACGGUCCAGACUCCUACGGGAGGCAGCAGUGGGGAAUAUUGGACAAUGGGCGCAAGCCUGAUCCAGCCAUACCGCGUGGGUGAAGAAGGCCUUCGGGUUGUAAAGCCCUUUUGUUGGGAAAGAAAAGCAGCAGGUGAAUACCCCGCUGUUCUGACGGUACCCAAAGAAUAAGCACCGGCUAACUUCGUG
Molecule: ribosomal RNA, 492 nt
Filed under: uncultured bacterium
Lineage: Bacteria
Description: partial 16S ribosomal RNA
Rfam family: Bacterial small subunit ribosomal RNA
Source: RNAcentral